GAAAUCUACUUGCCCUUCAAGGACCGUACCAGUGGUUUUGCACAAUCAGACCACUAAAUCCAGUGCACUUACAACUUGCAUCAUAAAUUACUGAAAACCAGAGAUGUGGACUUGAGACAUGGUCAUGAGGACUAGAGUAAUGUAUUGGGGG
This is a long non-coding RNA of Sander lucioperca (pikeperch), 151 nucleotides long. RefSeq lists it as uncharacterized. The transcript is spliced from 3 exons. Lineage: Eukaryota; Metazoa; Chordata; Actinopteri; Perciformes; Percidae. The record is from RefSeq and is a predicted model, not a curated record.